Molecule: long non-coding RNA, 603 nt
Organism: Rhododendron vialii
Lineage: Eukaryota; Viridiplantae; Streptophyta; Magnoliopsida; Ericales; Ericaceae
Exons: 2
Source: RefSeq, a predicted model, not a curated record
AGAAUGUGACAUUUUUUUUUAAAAUUUUUUAUCGCCAUCAAGAAAACUCAUCGUGGAUGUGUCGAGGGUUUCUCCAGAGAGGGAGAGAGGAGAGGAGAGAGAGAGAGAGAAGCAUCACCAAUUCUAUAAUCAAUCAACAGAAACCAAACUUCUUCCCCCAGAAACGUCAUUUUCAUCGACAUCAAACCUAACCCAAUAUAUAUUAUACAUCGACCCGUCAAUUCUCUCUCUUUCUUGUAUAUAUAUAUUACUCAUCGACUCAUCAAUUCUCUCUCUUUUUUGGUUCAUUGACUCGUCGAUCGGUCGAUUGUUCGAUCAAUUGAUCUAAUUUAACGGCCAUGGAAGUCCGUCACACUCUAACCCCGUCGACACUUCUUCCGUCUCUCAAAGGCUUCAGAAGGAGUUGAUGUCUUUAAUGGUAAGCCAUCUAUUCUCUGUUCUAUUUUUGAAUUUACAGCAAUUAUGACUGUAUGUGUGUACAUGUGGAUGGAUAGAAUUAGAAGUAAAGUCAGUUUUGCUUGUUUCAUGUUUAUAAUGGUUACUUGUAAUGCUCGACUCAGGUUUUGGUUUCCUAUUGUGAUAGUCUACAAUUGACAAUAGCAA